AUCCAUGAAUCCAUGGGAGCUGCCGUCUGUGGCCGACUCCCUUCCUAGACAUGGAAGAGCAGAGCCUUGCUAAUUGGCAUAACUUUUACCCUCUUGUGGGUAUGAGUCGUUGACUGUGGCAAGCAACAAGC
Junco hyemalis (dark-eyed junco) is the source of this 131-nucleotide small nucleolar RNA. Ensembl annotates it as small nucleolar RNA, H/ACA box 24. The record is from Ensembl. Lineage: Eukaryota; Metazoa; Chordata; Aves; Passeriformes; Passerellidae.